GGCUGGUUAGCUCAGUGGGUUGAGCACGGUGCUGACAAUAAUGACAACACCAAGGUUGCGGGUUCGAUUCCCACUCAGUCA
Apaloderma vittatum (bar-tailed trogon) is the source of this 81-nucleotide non-coding RNA. The record is from Rfam. NCBI's taxonomy places the organism in Eukaryota, Metazoa, Chordata, Aves, Trogoniformes, Trogonidae.